Molecule: transfer RNA, 74 nt
Filed under: Pilimelia anulata
Lineage: Bacteria; Bacillati; Actinomycetota; Actinomycetes; Micromonosporales; Micromonosporaceae
Description: tRNA-Gly
Source: RNAcentral
CGGGGUGCUGGCCGAGGUGGCCGAGCUGGGCGUGACCGUCGCCCUGACCCGGUUCGGCGCCGGCCACUCCGCCC